RNAcentral lists this ribosomal RNA (233 nucleotides) under uncultured Lactobacillus sp. RNAcentral's name for it is "partial 16S ribosomal RNA". It matches the Rfam family "Bacterial small subunit ribosomal RNA", at positions 129 to 355 of the family's 1533-position model. The record is from RNAcentral. Lineage: Bacteria; Bacillati; Bacillota; Bacilli; Lactobacillales; Lactobacillaceae.
CCCAAGAGAUCGGGAUAGCACCUGGAAACAGAUGCUAAUACCGGAUAACAANAGAUGAUGCCUAUCAACUGUUUAAAAGAUGGUUCUGCUAUCACUCUUGGAUGGACCUGCGGUGCAUUAGCUAGUUGGUAGGGUAACGGCCUACCAAGGCGAUGAUGCAUAGCCGAGUUGAGAGACUGAUCGGCCACAUUGGGACUGAGACACGGCCCAAACUCCUACGGGAGGCAGCAGCU